RNAcentral lists this ribosomal RNA (1337 nucleotides) under uncultured soil bacterium. RNAcentral describes it as "bacterial SSU rRNA". It matches the Rfam family "Bacterial small subunit ribosomal RNA", at positions 27 to 1380 of the family's 1533-position model. The record is from RNAcentral.
GGACGAACGCUGGCGGCGUGCUUAACACAUGCAAGUCGAACGGAAAGGACCUUCGGGGUACUCGAGUGGCGAACGGGUGAGUAACACGUGGGUGAUCUGCCCUGCACUCUGGGAUAAGCCUGGGAAACUGGGUCUAAUACCGGAUAGGACCACACACUUCAUGGUGAGUGGUGCAAAGCUUUUGCGGUGUGGGAUGAGCCCGCGGCCUAUCAGCUUGUUGGUGGGGUAAUGGCCCACCAAGGCGACGACGGGUAGCCGGCCUGAGAGGGUGACCGGCCACACUGGGACUGAGAUACGGCCCAGACUCCUACGGGAGGCAGCAGUGGGGAAUAUUGCACAAUGGGCGCAAGCCUGAUGCAGCGACGCCGCGUGAGGGAUGACGGCCUUCGGGUUGUAAACCUCUUUCAGUAGGGACGAAGCGAAAGUGACGGUACCUACAGAAGAAGGACCGGCCAACUACGUGCCAGCAGCCGCGGUAAUACGUAGGGUCCGAGCGUUGUCCGGAAUUACUGGGCGUAAAGAGCUCGUAGGUGGUUUGUCGCGUUGUUCGUGAAAACUCACAGCUUAACUGUGGGCGUGCGGGCGAUACGGGCAGACUAGAGUACUGCNNNGGAGACUGGAAUUCCUGAUGUAGCGGUGGAAUGCGCAGAUAUCAGGAGGAACACCGGUGGCGAAGGCGGGUCUCUGGGCAGUAACUGACGCUGAGGAGCGAAAGCGUGGGUAGCGAACAGGAUUAGAUACCCUGGUAGUCCACGCCGUAAACGGUGGGUACUAGGUGUGGGUUUCCUUCCUUGGGAUCCGUGCCGUAGCUAACGCAUUAAGUACCCCGCCUGGGGAGUACGGUCGCAAGACUAAAACUCAAAGGAAUUGACGGGGGCCCGCACAAGCGGCGGAGCAUGUGGAUUAAUUCGAUGCAACGCGAAGAACCUUACCUGGGUUUGACAUGCACAGGACGUACCUAGAGAUAGGUAUUCCCUUGUGGCCUGUGUGCAGGUGGUGCAUGGCUGUCGUCAGCUCGUGUCGUGAGAUGUUGGGUUAAGUCCCGCAACGAGCGCAACCCUUGUCCUAUGUUGCCAGCGGGUAAUGCCGGGGACUCGUAGGAGACUGCCGGGGUCAACUCGGAGGAAGGUGGGGAUGACGUCAAGUCAUCAUGCCCCUUAUGUCCAGGGCUUCACACAUGCUACAAUGGCCAGUACAGAGGGCUGCGAAGCCGCAAGGUGGAGCGAAUCCCUUAAAGCUGGUCUCAGUUCGGAUUGGGGUCUGCAACUCGACCCCAUGAAGUCGGAGUCGCUAGUAAUCGCAGAUCAGCAACGCUGCGGUGAAUACGUUCCCGGGCC